GAAGGCGCUAGGCGCAGGCUCUCAACCGGUCGGGCCCAUCGUCCCUACAGCGGCGGAGACAAGCCCCUGGCAGCCUGGCAGGCGUGAGGGCCGCUUCCUUCUCGGCUGGCCCUGGGCCAUGGCGAAGAGUGCGACCGCAUGUAAGCCUCAACCUCGAUGGACAUCGGCGAGGACCGGCGCAGCGGACCAGCCACACCACCCCGAUGCUUGAGGCGUUGAACGCAGAGCCGAGGACAAGCACCGCUGCAGGCUGCAGCAUAUUCCGGCCACCGGUGAGAAGGCGGUCGUGGCCGUCAGGGCGGUGGCGAGGCGAGGCUCCAGAUCAUGGAGUUUCUGAUUCUGAGUUUUCAUUCUGCAACGCAGGAGAUAUGUUGAUGGCUGCUUGAAGCAUUGCUUGAACAAGGACUCAAAGAAAUCAGGUGUUUUCUUUCUUUUUCAUGUAUUUUGCAGAAAACCCUUUACACUUUCUGUGAAUAAACCUGCAGUACACACUUAAGUCACAGCUAAACCGUUAUUUUACCUUUUUCGAAAACCCUCUGACUUUUUAGGCACUUCAACCGCGGGUCAUAUUAAAUCAAACAAGUGAUUUUCUAAAUAAUCCAUGUCUUUUGAACCGUAACUCCAAUUUUAACACGUUAUACAUAAAAUUUGAUUAAAAAAUGUGUAGAAUCUAAAUAUUAUGUUAUUUUUACCUGUUAAAUAUUUUUUAAAUAUUAUUUGCCGUUUUUCUUUCGUACCGGAGGCUAUCCGGUUGCAAAUAAACACUCACUAAAAUCACAUAGAGACAAAAGAAAACAUCGAUAACCACACAUGUACACCUCUGAAAACCCUCACAGGGAAAAACAACAGAUUUUUCAUCGGGCGCGCGCGAGAGAGAGGGCGAGAGACGCCUUAAGAUUAACCACAUUCAAAACGUUUUGAUUUGUGUGAACACUGAAGCCACCGUCGGCGAGGGUGAGAAGGAGGAUAAGCGGCAAUACAAAUGUGAUGCCAGUCUAAAAUAAAGGAUGUGGACCUAUUGUGGUCUUGAGUGAUGGUUAUUGAGUUAAGAACAUGUGUUAUUUUUCUUCCGUUGCAACGCACGGGCUCUUUUGUUAGUGUUGCCUAAAAGGCAUUUAUCUGGUUGUGAGGAAGAAUAUAAUAAUUGUAUAUCGGUUAUUGGAACCUGAAAAUGUAUCACCGCUGAGAGAACAACAACCUAUCAUAUAGGGAAACGUUUAGAGUCGGGCCCAUUUUACCGGGCUUGCACAAGAGCCUCUAGCAUAUUAGGGCCGGCCUUGCGUACAACUUAAAUACCAGAAAUCUAACGGAAACAUGGCCGUCGCGCUUGCCCUCCGCCAUCACACCCUCGCCCUAGGCUGCUUGCACUUGCCAGCCAUUCGGCGGCACCCGUGCUCGCCCCCAGCCGACCGCGCUCAUCGUCUCUCGUCGUCAUUGUGGAAUACGCCUCGCUGGUCACAAAAGCCUUGCCAUCAUCAUCGCAGCAAUUUCCGUUGUAGGUCAUAGCAAAUGCCGAUCACACAGUUGCAACAAAAAAUGUCGUCGAUUGUAGCUCGCCGUGCCUGCUGAGUUGCAGCACUUGGCGAAAAUCGACCUCACUGGUUCGCAGCAACCCACCACCAACAUCUCUUUUCAUGCUCAUGUCGUGCUUGAAGUAGCGUGGUAGUUCAUGAAUGGAUGCAGCUCCCCUAAAUGCUCUUCUUCAACCAGAGAACAGUGCACGUACCGAGCCAUUGUUCCCGACCGCCCGAUGCCAUCCACGCCAUCAUUUCCUACCCGAGCUAGCUCCACCUCCGCCGGAUCCAGCCAGCAGCUGUACUGGCGUCCUGAGGUCGCGAUCAGGACCUCGUUUCAGCGCCAUCGCCACCUCGCACACGCACGUAUGGGACAUCUGGUGAUCGGGGUCCGACGCCUCCUUGUGCACGCCACCAUUAUCCUUGAGCUCUUCGGCCAGCCGAGUGCUGCGGGAGGGUAAGGACCUCCGCCUGCAUCACCAUGCUCGUCAUGUUGUCCAUUGGCACAGCAAUAUGGAUGAAAAGAGCCAUGGAGAAGCUGGCUGAACGCGUGUCCCAGCACCAAGACAAUUAACAGUGUUUCGCAGUUUCGGUUCCCGGGUCACAACUCGAAGCCUCAUCAUUUUUUUUCCUUCAUAUUGGAUCUUGGUUCCGUCUUUGUUUGGUACACAUAGAGUUCCUCUCUCUUGAGUCCAUCGUGGAUCUUUUAUUGUUUUUUUUCCUUCAAUGCUUGGAAAUGAAAAAGUAGAUAUUUCAUGCUCUCUUUUUUUGUUCAUGAGACGGUCAAGAUCUGGUUCGUGAAAUUUGCAUGGUUACUUUUCUUGUUUGUUCAUGAAACUCCGAAGAAACAUUUUCAUGAUUCUUUGUUCAUGCAUGAUCUGUAUUUCUUAGAUCAGCUUUGUUUGCUCACAAUAGUGACUACGAUGAAAUGGCUCCAAAUAAAAAUCAGAGUGGAAAAUUCUGAUAAUAAUUCGUUGCCUAGCCGAGUGAAACUAUUUUGAAGAUGUAGAAGGAACGCAAACAUAUGAAACUUGUUAAACAUGAUUAUAACUGAUGGAACAUCUAGGAAACUGACAAAACAUCCCUUAAAUUUAGCUCAACUAGAACUGAAACUACUGCCAAAAUUAUUAAUUUCCUGCUCAUCUUGUAUUCAUAGAGUUUCGUCAUAGAUGUUAUUAGAAAACAAAUCCAAAAGGGCCUGGCUUUCUGAGAAAACUACAAGUACAAGCCAACUGGGGUUGCCAGGCCGUUGUAGAUGUUUCACAUGAAUUUUUAUACAUGCAUGUUUCAGGAAGGUUUGGAAACAAGUUUCAAUCAUUUUACUGGACAUGGUUCAAAGAUCAUAUACCUGCGCAUGAACAUUAAGACAUCAAAUAUUAAAAUUCAUUCAACAAUUUCUUUCUAUUAUCUCUAUAAAAAAAUAAAAAAUCCGAUCCUUUUUUUUCUCUCUGAAAAAUAUUGAACUUGGUGGAUAAAACUACAACCGCGAGCAAAAAUAAAACUAGUGGUUCAUGUCGAAUGAGCUAGGGAUUGUUGUUCGUAACAAUAGCCAAUAAUUAGAUAAAGAAAUUUGGGUAAAGUUCUGCAAUAAGGGGAAUAUCGGAGACCGAAUAGGUUAGGGCUCAAAUAUGUUUUUGCAAAACACCACCUGAUUCACAAAGUGGAGUGAAUGGUUUGCUAUUCUCCCCAUCUCCCUCUCUCUGGUCUCCGGUCUCUAUCAGUUGCAUUUGGUGGCAUUAAUUCUCGCGAUAGCCUCUAGAACUGCACUGCAUGACCGCCCAAUAGCAACUUUCAGACCACAAAAUCAUGGAAUCAAAACACAACUUUCAAUCAUAGUUACGUUCACAUGGAAGAAAUUAAGCAACAUACGUGUGGAAUAAGAGUACCGGUCAGAAGCCGGGUGGGAAACACGCGUAGGAGAGCAUCCAGCAGAGUUGAUCACGCGUGAGGAACGAGGGCUAGUAUUCAUGUAUUGGAAGCAACCUUGACUUUUUGUACCUAACAGUACUAGUACCCCAGGUUGCGUGGCCGGCCUGAGAUAAGCGGCGAGUUCAGUCAUCGAUUGGAUGUCGUGGAUGGGAAAUCACUGGCCAUGACUUAUCGCUCAACCACAUUAUUAUUCCAUGAAAAGGAAAGCAAUGAAGACUACGGACUUAUCGCUCAACUACAUUACUGUACAAAUUAUUCCAGUACAAUUAAAUCGAGGAAGGCAAUGGAUUACUAAUCAACCACAUUACUGUAUUGAUUAUUCCCUGAAAACCAAAUCGAUGAGGCCUACAGAUGAACGCUCGACCACUGUACUGUAUUAAUUAUACUCAGAAAAUUAAAUUGAGG
Molecule: long non-coding RNA, 3848 nt
Organism: Triticum aestivum (bread wheat)
Lineage: Eukaryota; Viridiplantae; Streptophyta; Magnoliopsida; Poales; Poaceae
Exons: 3
Source: RefSeq, a predicted model, not a curated record